CAUAGCAUGUAGAAAUUCUUGGGCCAGGGAUCAAACCUGUGUCACAGCAGCAGCCCAAGCCACUAAAAAUCCAGUGGCCAAGAAGCUCCAAGAAACCUUCACAUUGAGAAAUCUGAGAAUCAACCAUAGAAAAAAGAAUCUCAGAAAUAUUUAAUGUCUUUGAGGCUUAUAUCCUCUUAUAGGGUCAAAAUAAUUAAGUCAAAAACUGGGAUUUUUUUUAAGAUGGCAUAUUUUUUGGUGACCUUUCAACUAUACCCUUCUUUUUUUUCUUUUUCAGCCACACCUGCAGCAUAUGGAAGUUCCCAGGCCAGGGACUGAAUCCAAGCUAGAGCUGCAACCUACACCACAGCUGCAGCAAUGCUGGAUCCUUAACCCACCAUGCUGGGCUGGGCUGGGGGUUGACCCUAACUGACUCCACAGAGAGAAACUGGAUAAGCAACCCACUGCACCACAGCAGAAACUCCCCAACUACACACGUUUUUGUUUUUUUUUUUAAAGGGCCAACACCUGUGGCAAAUGCAAGUUCCCAGGCUAUGGGUUGAAUCAUAAGCUGUAUCUGCCAGCCUACAUCACAGCCACAGCCCACGCCGGAUCCUUAAGCCACUGAGUGAAGCCAAGGACGGAACUGCAUCUUCAUGGAUACCAGUUGGAUUAGCUAAGCCACAAAAGGAACUCUCCAACUAUACACUUUUAACAAUAUAAUGGUUAUGCAGUAAAAAGGUCAAAGUCAGCUAAAUUUGUAGAUACGUUUCAGAACAUAAACUGCUCCAAAAUUUCCUAUUCUUAAAUCUGUUUUUAUUAAACUCAUCUAAAAUAUAAGAUGGACUUUUCUGAAUAAAGCUGCAUUAUAUUUAGUCUCUGUCAAAAAAAGAAAAAGACAAAUUACCUAGCAAGAAUUCAUGCAGUUCUCACAGUGAAAAGAGUACUAAAACAAGCACAUUAUCAUUUUAGUUAGUGCUAAACAAAUACCCUGGAACUGUACAAAAGAGGAAAUUCUGAUAUAAUCAUUUUCUAAGAGUUGAAUUCCUUGGGACUAGGUCAGGUGCCCACCACACCAAUUUGCUGAAAGGAUUAAUUCAAAGUUUCCCUUUAAAUAAGGUUAUUCGAGAGUUUUGUUUUGUUUUUUAAAUAUCAACAAUUAUCCUUCAAACUAUGUUAUGAAUAAUCCUCUUGGUUUAGGAAAAGGAGAGCUCAAACUCUAGGGCUUUGGUCGUGGGGUAAGAAUAAAGGGCGAGAAGCAAGCCAAUAGGCAGGCAAUUUUUCUGCUUUUGAUGGAUUUCAACUGUGUUUGCCAAGAUUACUAUUACAAUGAGUGGGAUUCAACUUUAAUGCAAAUCUCUUCUGGAUUAUUACAAAAUUACCACAUGUCACAUGAGCUCAAACAACAUCAGGUACAAAAAAUACACAAUAUUAACAUAAUUAAUGUAUAAGACAGUUUUAAAAGGUAAAAUAUUUUGACAGGUUAAAAAAAUACAAACAUUCAAAAAAAAAAAAAAACCCAAAAGGGGGUCUCCACCCGGAUUCAACAAUGGGAUCAAUGCAGUAGCUAAGAUUAUAUUCAGACUGGAACAAAUUCUGGAAAGUCAUGCUACAAAAGAGAAUGAAAAAAAAUGCUGGGCAGCUCAAAAUUUUAUAGCCAAUACUCAAAGUUAAAAUGUUUGUGUCUCCUAACCUCUAAAGACAACAGAGGGGUUCCCCCAUUAAAAAAAAAAAAAAAAAAAAA
This 1723-nucleotide long non-coding RNA is filed under the name Sus scrofa (pig). Its description in RNAcentral is "lncRNA (ENSSSCG00005035139.1)". Lineage: Eukaryota; Metazoa; Chordata; Mammalia; Artiodactyla; Suidae. The record is from RNAcentral.